Long non-coding RNA from Medicago truncatula (barrel medic), 460 nucleotides. RefSeq lists it as uncharacterized. The record is from RefSeq and is a predicted model, not a curated record. Lineage: Eukaryota; Viridiplantae; Streptophyta; Magnoliopsida; Fabales; Fabaceae. The transcript is spliced from 2 exons.
UGUUCUCCCAACAUUCCAUCUCCGGCACUCCAAAUUUCAGCAUCAUCGCUGACAACAGCUCGUGAAAAUUUGUCAUUUCCUAGAACAAUUGCAAGCUGAAAUGCAAACCAACUCAAUUUGAGAAUGAAGCAUUUGUCAAAGGGUUUGGAAAGGGACAUGCUGGAUAUGUCAAUUUGCGAAUGAAGCAUUUGUCAAAGUAUUUGGAAAGACAUUCAUCUGAGUCUAGCUAUCGUCUUGAGGAUCAUGGAGCAACUUGACUAAGGGAUACCUAGAUAUUUUUAUAUAGUUUUAACUCUGAUACAAUAGUUUUGAAUGUCCAGGCGACUUAAAUUUCCACUAGUGUUUUGGUUUUUGAAUGUUUAAACCAUGUACUUUAUCUAUUGUUUUGAUUGUUACUAUUAAAAGAAUUAUAUUUAUGGGAUUUAGAAAUUUUUAGUUAUAUAUUUAUGUAUUUUAAGUA